RNAcentral lists this non-coding RNA (196 nucleotides) under Echinicola vietnamensis. Lineage: Bacteria; Pseudomonadati; Bacteroidota; Cytophagia; Cytophagales; Cyclobacteriaceae. The record is from RNAcentral. RNAcentral also lists the same sequence under 1 other name.
ACUUCUAAAACCAAUAUAGGUCGCCGACUACGGUCGGGGAUAAUAGGGAACCGUGUGAAAAUCACGGGCUGUCGCGCAACUGUGAGUGACCUAAAAGUUCUUGCCCUUGGUUGUCCACUGUUCUGAUUGUUUUCAGGAUGGGAAGGACGGCAAGAAUGUCAUGAGCCAGGAGACCUGCCUGUAUUGACCUGUUCAU